CCCUUUCCUGCGGAAUAGCUCCGGGAAACUGGAAUUAAUACCGCAUACGCCCUACGGGGGAAAGAUUUAUCGGGGAAGGAUUGGCCCGCGUUGGAUUAGCUAGUUGGUGGGGUAAAGGCCUACCAAGGCGACGAUCCAUAGCUGGUCUGAGAGGAUGAUCAGCCACAUUGGGACUGAGACACGGCCCAAACUCCUACGGGAGGCAGCAGUGGGGAAUAUUGGACAAUGGGCGCAAGCCUGAUCCAGCCAUGCCGCGUGAGUGAUGAAGGCCUUAGGGUUGUAAAGCUCUUUCACCGAUGAAGAUAAUGACGGUAGUCGGAAAAGAAGCCCCGGCUAACUUCGUGCCAGCAGCCGCGGUAAUACGAAGGGGGCUAGCGUUGUUCGGAAUUACUGGGCGUAAAGCGCACGUAGGCGGAUAUUUAAGUCAGGGGUGAAAUCCCCGCAGCUCAACUGCGGAACUGCCUUUGAUACUGGGUAUCUUGAGUAUGGAAAAAGGUAAGUGGAAUUCCGAGUGUAGAGGUGAAAUUCGUAGAUAUUCGGAGGAACACC
RNAcentral lists this ribosomal RNA (549 nucleotides) under Rhizobium sp. Its description in RNAcentral is "bacterial SSU rRNA". It matches the Rfam family "Bacterial small subunit ribosomal RNA", at positions 129 to 710 of the family's 1533-position model. The record is from RNAcentral. Lineage: Bacteria; Pseudomonadati; Pseudomonadota; Alphaproteobacteria; Hyphomicrobiales; Rhizobiaceae.